GUUUUUAUUGAAUGCUAACUUAAAAAUGCUAAGUUUAUAAAUUUACUUAUAAAAUCAAGUUUACUGCUUAAUUUUUACAUCUGUGUAUAUCCAUGUAACCAUGAUAUACAUCAAAAUCUAUAACAUUUCUAUCAUUCCAGAGGGUUCAGUUGUGCCAUUUAUUAAUCAAACCUAACUGAGAUCUGCUCUCUGGGCACAAUAAGACCAGAUAUGCACACUGAGGUUUGCAGCAGGAAGAAGGAGGGUAUUUAUUUGCAGAGCUCCAAGCAAGAAAGACCAGGCACCUACUCUUAAAUUCUGACCUCUUAAUCGCUUUCAGUGAUGGAAGAAUUGAACACGGAUAAAAUCCCCUGCUUGAGUUUUUACAACCUUGUGGAUGGUGACCAAUGGCUUGACCAUAUGGCCAGACAGAGAGAAAUGGAAAAGUGCCUAUUAAAGACAUACCCUUUAAAUCGUGGUGAUAGGAAAAUCACCAAGGGAAUCAGGAGGAGUAAGUUGGUACUCCAUUAAGUUAUAUCUGAUGCCUCAAAGGGUGAAACCAUCUAUUGCUGAUACCACUCCUGCUAUUGGAACUAGGUGGGAUCAAAUGGAAGCCUGCAAACUGGAGCGGCCUCAUCCCAGGAGACAUUUUCAUGCAAUAUGAUAAAAGACUGAACUAAUUGUUAAGGACUGAAUGGGGCUCUAGCAAAGUACCAGCAUUUUUUGACGUUUUAUUUUUCAAGUUACAGCUACCAUAAUGUAAUCAGGUCCUACACUUGCAUUGUUGGUAAAAAUUACAAUGCCAAUAUCUAUAGUCAAAUGAAUUGGAAAAAUGAGUUAAAAGCCUCCUAUUCCUAUACCACACUCCUUACUCAAAAUGUUGCUCAGACAGGUGAUCCUUUUACUAAAAGGAAUCCAUGGUCAAAGACCAAGGGGUAACCUGUGAUGUAACAAAAAUACGUAUAUAUUUGGUCCUUGUCCUGGUUGCUGGUACAGAGCUUCUAAAACCCUUGGAGAUUCUUGAGUGGUAGGACUGUCUUUUGUUAUCUAUAAAGAGACCCUUUUACCAUACCUGAGUUUAUGCUAAUGAGGUGAUUCAUAGUGGGGCCCUAGAUAACUUUAGAAUGGGGGCUGCUCACCAGAGAAACCAACUCUGUGAAUGAAGGGUUAGAACUUUAGCCCUACCUCCCACCCUGACUUCCAGAGAGAGGAGAGGCACUAGAGGUUGUAUUUAAUCACUGAUGGACAAUCAUUAAUCAGUCAGAUCUAUAUGAUGAGAUUUCACAUUAAAAACUCCAAGCAGUGGGGUUUAGGGAAUUUUUAGGUUGAUGAACACAUGGAUGUGCUGGGAGGGUGGCAUGCCACAGAGGGCAUGGAAACUUGUACACCUUUCCCCCUUCCUUGCCUUAUGUACCUCUUCAAUUGGCUGUUCCCUUCUAUCCUUUAUAAUAAAGUGUAAUCACAAGUAUACAGAGCACCCUUGACCUAACUAACUCCGUCUUAGAAAAAGACUCCACUUGAUAUUUCACAGGAUACUUUGGCAAUAAGAAUAAGAUGUUUUGUUUAAUACAAAUUAAAGAAAUAAAGACUGCAUACAACCACAUAAAUACACAAACAAGCACUCUUCUACUAUCUUUUCUCAUCAGAGGACUCUGUGACUAUAAAAGAUUAGGCCUUCAGCAGCUCAAAAUGGCCAACUUAGAUGAUACCAUCUUGGAGUCAAAAACUCUUCCUUGCAAGACCAACAGACCACCCAGACCACUUGGCCCGGAUCAGGACUCUGUCUUCUUCACUUUCCCUGGACUGGUUCAUUAACCCUUUCUCCUAUCUGACAAAGCAGGAGCAUCAUUAUCUUGGACAAGCCCCUCAUUCUAAAGUUCACCUAAUAAAAAACCACCUAAAUCCAUAGGGCAUCAGCCUAAUGGCUAAGGUCAGAAUGACCAUAAACCACAAAUAACAUCUCCGACCAGAUACAUUCCAAACUCCUCCUCGACCAAAGACAUGCUAUCUAUCCCCUAGAUAAUCUCCCUCUGGCCAAGUAGAUGCCAGCCUCAAGAUAACCACCCCCCAGGUCAAAAAGAUGUCUGCCCCAACCAAGAUAACCUCCUCUCCUCCUGGGAGAUUCCAACUCCACCAUAAACUUCUCCACACACAUAAGCAUUCCAAGCUUAUUAUAAGCCCUUUCACCCUAAAACCAAUAUAUACUUUUAGCCUGUAAGAGAAAGUACUUCUGACCACAAUCAGCCAGCAGUGCCUCUCAGGUUUUAACUAAAGAAAACCUGUCUUUGACUGCCAAGCCAUGUUUUAUGUUUCUUUCCUCCUUAACUCUUAUAUUUGGUGCCAAAACCCGGGACAGGUGCUGGGGGCAAAGGCUCUCCUGUAACCCAGAAAGCAGUGGCAGCUCAUCCUGAGUUAAUUUCUGAAUCCUAAGGGUCUCUGGCCACCUGCCUCAUCUUUUCUCUCACUUCACUUUUCCCUCAUCCUUCCUUUUUUCCCUCUCUCUCUUCCUUGUGCAGCUGCAGUCCAAAAGGUCCUUUCCAAUUCCAACCAGAACAUCCAUUGGACACGAAUCCAGCUGACUGGUAAGAUCUACUCACCCCCUUCUUUCCCCUCUGGCUUUCUCAUGGUACCCAGGAAAAGUCAGGUGAGCAGUCUCAGUCCUCAGAGGACCAGGGGGACUAAGAUAGAGGAAAUCUUGGGGAUGUCCAGUUUCUUCUCAGCUUGACCAUCUUCUUUAGAAAGAGGAUUCUGGAUCUUUGUCUUCUGUCUGGGGACACCUAGAACAGAAAAAGACACCCUUGGCUUCUUCUCACCAGUCCACAUGGGUGCCAAACAAUUCCCACAUUCGUAAGCCCUCUCCACUGUGCUGUCUCCUUCACAAACUCACCAAACCUGGCUUAAGCAUUUAGUCAUUUACUGUAAGGGUCCUGGCCCCAAUACACAUUAGAUAAUGACAGCUGAUGGCCUGAAAAUAGCCUCUUUGACUUGCAAGUUCUCAGGAACCUUAACAACUUUAUAACCAGGAAAGGUAAAUGGCAAGAUGUUCUCCAUAUUCAGGCUUUCUUCUAUUUCUACCUUAAAUCCCAACCCUCCCUGUAAAAACUUACACCUCUGAUAAAAUCUGUCUUCUUAA
Molecule: non-coding RNA, 3112 nt
Organism: Callithrix jacchus (white-tufted-ear marmoset)
Lineage: Eukaryota; Metazoa; Chordata; Mammalia; Primates; Cebidae
Source: RefSeq, a predicted model, not a curated record